Molecule: ribosomal RNA, 113 nt
Filed under: Hyphomicrobiales bacterium
Lineage: Bacteria; Pseudomonadati; Pseudomonadota; Alphaproteobacteria; Hyphomicrobiales
Description: Rhizobiales bacterium (bioreactor metagenome) partial 16S ribosomal RNA
Rfam family: Bacterial small subunit ribosomal RNA
Source: RNAcentral
CAACUUGAGAGUUUGAUCCUGGCUCAGAGCGAACGCUGGCGGCAGGCUUAACACAUGCAAGUCGAACGGGCGUAGCAAUACGUCAGUGGCAGACGGGUGAGUAACGCGUGGGA